UGUAUUCACUACUGUAAGUCGCUCUGGAUAAGAGCAUCUGCUAAAUGACGUAAA
Non-coding RNA from Salmo salar (Atlantic salmon), 54 nucleotides. The record is from Rfam. Lineage: Eukaryota; Metazoa; Chordata; Actinopteri; Salmoniformes; Salmonidae.